Molecule: ribosomal RNA, 1373 nt
Filed under: uncultured bacterium
Lineage: Bacteria
Description: bacterial SSU rRNA
Rfam family: Bacterial small subunit ribosomal RNA
Source: RNAcentral
UUUGAUCCUGGCUCAGGAUGAACCUUGGCGGUGUGCCUAAUACAUGCAAGUCGAACGGUGACGAUUUUGUAGCAAUACGAAUGAAAUCAUAGUGGCGAACGGGUGAGUAACGCGUUGGUGAUCUGCCUCGAAGUGUGGAAUAACUUCCCGAAAGGGUAGCUAAUACCGCAUAGUCUCUCAAGGUUUAGAAAAUUGAGAGUAAAGGAUUUAUUCGCUUCGAGAGGAGCCUGCGUCCCAUCAGCUAGUUGGUAGGGUAAUAGCCUACCAAGGCAAUGACGGGUAGGGGACCUGAGAGGGUGGCCCCCCACAAUGGAACUGAAACACGGUCCAUACACCUACGGGUGGCAGCAGUAGGGAAUAUUAGAAAUGGGCGAAAGCCUGAUCUAGCAACACCGCGUGUGCGAUGAAGGCCUUCGGGUUGUAAAGCACUUUUUGGAGGGAAUAGGAAGGAAGGUACCUCCAGAAUAAGUCUCGGCUAACUACGUGCCAGCAGCCGCGGUAACACGUAGGAGGCAAACGUUAUCCGGAUUCACUGGGCGUAAAGCGCGUGUAGGUGGUUCUGUAAGUAGGGCGUGAAAGCUCCCGGCUCAACUGGGAGAGGCCGUACUAAACUGCAGAGCUAGAGGAUGGUAGAGGGAGGUGGAACUCCAGGUGUAGUGGUGAAAUGCGCAGAUAUCUGGAGGAACACCAGUGGCGAAGGCGGCCUCCUGGACCAUUCCUGACACUCAGACGCGAAAGCUAGGGUAGCAAACGGAAUUAGAGACUCCGGUAGUCCUAGCCCUAAACGAUGAGUGCUAGGUGUCGGGAGUCAAAUCUCGGUGCCGUAGUUAACGCAAUAAGCACUCCGCCUGGGGAGUACGUGCGCAAGCAUGAAACUCAAAGGAAUUGACGGGGACCCGCACAAGCAGCGAAGCAUGUGGUUUAAUUCGAAGCAACGCGAAGAACCUUACCAGGACUUGACAUACUAGUGCCAAAUGUAGAGAUACAUUAUUUCUUCGGAACACUAAUACAGGUGGUGCAUGGUUGUCGUCAGCUCGUGUCGUGAGAUGUUGGGUUAAGUCCCGCAACGAGCGCAACCCCUAUGUUUAUUUGCCAGCAUUUUGGAUGGGAACUAUAGACAGACUGCCGAUAAGAAAUCGGAGGAAGGUGGGGAUGACAUCAAAUCAUCAUGCCCUAUAUGUCCUGGGCUACACACGUGCUACAAUGGUCGUUACAGAGAGCAGCUACACAGCGAUGUCACGCGAAUCUCAAAAAGGCGAUCUCAGUUCGGAUUGUACUCUGCAACUCGAGUACAUGAAGUCGGAGUUGCUAGUAAUCGCAAAUCAGAAUGUUGCGGUGAAUGCGUUCCCGGGUCUUGUACACACGGCCCGUCA